GACGAACGCUGGCGGCGUGCUCAAUACAUGCAAGUCGAGCGGUAAGGCCCUUUCGGGGGGUACACGAGCGGCGAACGGGUGAGUAACACGUGGGUGACCUGCCCUCCAGCUCUGGGAUAAGCCUGGGAAACUGGGUCUAAUACCGGAUAUGACUUCGCAUCGCAUGGUGUGGGGUGGAAAGUUUUCGGUCUGGGGAGUGGGCCCGCGGCCUAUCAGCUUGUUGGUGGGGUGAUGGCCUACCAAGGCGACGACGGGUAGCCGGCCUGAGAGGGCGACCGGCCACACUGGGAC
Molecule: ribosomal RNA, 291 nt
Filed under: uncultured bacterium
Lineage: Bacteria
Description: partial 16S ribosomal RNA
Rfam family: Bacterial small subunit ribosomal RNA
Source: RNAcentral